Non-coding RNA from Durio zibethinus, 3757 nucleotides. The record is from RefSeq and is a predicted model, not a curated record. Lineage: Eukaryota; Viridiplantae; Streptophyta; Magnoliopsida; Malvales; Malvaceae.
UUAGAACUUUGUUUGUUUGUUUGUUUCUCGUGAAAAUUGAAAAUCCUGGAAAAUGCUUUGAGAUCUCCUUAAGCAUUGAUGACUGAAGAGGAGGACUAUGGCUGCAAGGGAAGACAAGGAAAAUUAUGGUGGAUGUGGCACUGCCACGUCACUAUUAUAAUAGAAAAAUAUUUUCUUUACUUUUCUGCAAAUCCCAAACCCUAAAUAAAUAAAUGGAUAAACAGCAAGCCUUUUCCCUAUCUUUCUUAGUCCAGAUUUUCAAACCCUAAAUCGAUAAAAAAAAACUAAAUUUUUUCUAAAAAAUUCCACAUGACCGGCCGAGGAGUUAGGGACCGUUCGCGACGUGACCACUUGCCGUCGGGAAGUUCGGGGCGGAGCAAUGCGCCGCCGUCGAGACACCUUUGGGUGGGGAAUCUAUCGCAUAGUAUACUAGAGCCGGACCUCACAGACCACUUCUUGCAAUACGGGGAACUAGAGAGCGUGGCUUUCCAGCCAGGUCGAAGCUACGCUUUUAUCAAUUUCAUGAACGAAAAAGAAGCUAUUUCCGCUAUGAAGGCGCUUCAAGGUUUCCCCGUCGCGGGGAAUCCGCUUAGGAUUGAGUUUGCCAAGGCGGACAAGUCAUCAACACCAUCAAGCAAUGAGGACAACUUGCAACGUCGAGACGAGCGACGUUCUACAGUAAGAGGGUCACCUUUCUCACCAAGGGACCCUAGAGCACGUCAUGCUAGUCCUGAACAUUUUGCCCCUGACAAAUCAAAGGCGAAUGAUAGAAGUGCAGAUCCCAGUGAGGUCCUAUGGAUAGGAUUUCCAGCAUUAUUGAAAGUAGAUGAAAUGAUUUUGAGGAAGGCUUUCUCUCCAUUUGGUGAGAUAGAGAAGAUUACUGUAUUUCCAGGACGUAGUUAUGCUUUUGUUCGCUUUAGGAGUUUAACAUCAGCAUGCAGGGCAAAAGAAACUCUUCAGGGGAAGUUAUUUGGGAAUCCCCGUGUGCAUAUUUGUUUUGCAAAGAGUGAGGGCGGGUCAUCCAACAGUGGAAGACGCUCAGUGAAUGCCCCCAACUCACCGCAUUUCAGGUUAAAUGGUCGCUUAGGGUCUUCUGAGAACUUUCUGGAUGACAGGAAUAUUGCAGACUUAACAGAAGAUGCAAGCAUUGGAUCUCCUUUUAUGCCAAAUUUUGAUUCGGAUGAUGUUGAUGUCUAUAGUUUCAAUAGGAAAGGUAUUUCAUUGAAUGGUGGGAAUACAUAUGAAGCCUGGAGGUUUGGGGAAGGGAGCCCUGAUCCUCGACUGCCACAAGAAGUGUAUGAACGUAGUAAAAGUCCAAUGAGAUUUCAUGAUUUUCCUCCAAAAUUACCUCAAAAAAGUGCAUUCUACGAAGAACCAUGGGAUAUGCCUGAAGACACCUAUCCUGUCCAUGGAGCUAAGAAAUUGAGAACUGGCUCCUUUCCUCCCGAGAAAGAGCUACCAGAGUACUCUUUAUCUGAUCUUGAACAAGAAAAACACGUUUUUCCAAGGAGACUCUCCAGCAUUCCUCAAUUUGAAGCCUUUGAUAACAAUUUUGAACCCGCAGCUUUGGGUUAUAAACAGAUUCCUGAUCGACCAAUGAAUUUAGCUCCAACUCGUGGGGAGAGGAAUGAACACUGGAAACCAUCUUAUGAUGGUUUUCAGGUCGGACCUGGUUCUCUACAAUCAAAUACAAUCGAGAGGAAAAGAUUUACUCCUGAACUGGAUCAGCCAUCUUUGAAAGAGUGGAAAUGGGAGGGGACAAUAGCCAAGGGUGGAACUCCUGUCUGUCGUGCUCGCUGCUUUCCUGUUGGAAAAGUCCUUGACAUCAUGUUGCCUGAAUUCUUAGAUUGCACAGCAAGGACUGCUCUGGACAUGCUUGCAAAGCAUUACUAUCAAGCAUCUAGUGCUUGGGUUGUUUUCUUUGUCCCUGAAAGUGAUGCUGACAUGGGAUUCUACAAUGAAUUCAUGCAUUACCUGGGAGAGAAGCAGCGAGCAGCUGUUGCUAAAUUAGAUGAUAAGACCACCUUGUUUCUUGUGCCACCAUCAGAUUUUUCGGAGAAAGUACUGAAAGUACCUGGGAAACUGAGCAUUUCAGGUGUUGUUUUGAGAUUAGAGCAUUCUGGUUCCACUUUCGGGUCUGCUCAUCCAAAUGAAAGAACAGAUGCAAACAUGUUACUUUUUCAUGGUGAUACAUCUUUUGCAAAGCCAUCAACAAUUUCAGGAUCAUUUCCUUCUAUGACAUCUUAUCCAGAAUUAAGUAUGCCAGGAAUUAAAGACAUCUAUCCAGGGAAUGGGGCUACAUCAGCUCCAUCUGUUUCACUUUCCGAGUCAGCUCAUUCUGUUGGAAAUGUAUCUGACUUGUAUGAUGAGCACAGGCAUGAUCAUGCAUCCCAGAGAAAUGCCGUGUUUGGACCAAGCUGGUCGUCUCAUGAUCUGCAGCAUCCAGUUUCUGUUACCAGAAAUACUCCUCAAGUUUCCGGUAGUGCUUUUGAUUCUGCAAUUCAAGGGCAUCAGUCAGUUAUGCCAAGAGCAGUGCAAGAAACAUAUUCUAGUACCACUGGAAGCUCAGGUACUCCAUUAUCUGGAAAUAGCAAGCCCACUAUGCCGGAAAUCAAAUCUUCAGUCCCUUUAUCUAUGCCUAUUAACGCCCUACAACCAGAACAACUAGCACAACUCGCAUCAUCUCUUAUUGGGCAGCAGAGACAGGUGGGAAAUACUCCAAAUGUAUCAAUGGGCCAGAAUUUUCGGCAGACAAAUACAAAGGACCAGUUCGACAUGUUGAGACAAUCACAGGAAUAUGCUUUACAAAAUAAUCAGGCUACUCCUGAGCUUUCAACAUCUCAGUUUUCUCAAGUGCAACAGUUGCAGCAGCAGCAGACAUCAAAUGCAGCUGCAGCAGUGUUUCAAGCAGCUCAAAGAAGUCAACAACUGCAUGGUACUGGUAUACAGGAAGAAAGUGAUGGCGAUCCACAGAAACGCUUGCAAGCAACAUUACAGCUGGCAGCAUCUCUUCUUCAACAAAUUCAACAGGGGAAAGGGACUUGAACUGGUUCCAGAUUCAAUUUCAAUGUGUCGGUGCCCUCUGUUACUACUAUCAGCUUUUUCACUUGUUUGUUUUCCAUGGGUGGCACAGAGCCUUCCAAAUGAAGCAGCUGAUUAUCUCAGUUUUUAGCACUGCUCAUAAGGAGGUUUGUUUUGCAGCUGCAUAAGUAUCAGUAUUAAAUGGAGAACCGCUGCGUUUGGGAAGCAAAGGUGUCAUCCAGUAUCUACAAAAGAGAAACAUAAGAAUUGUUUGUGCUCUGCUGCGAGGGGUAAAACUUCAAAAACACAAGGAAUAGAGAUCGGUCAACAACAAAGGUCAAGAGUUUUUUCGGUGUUUAUAUUUUCAAUGCUUGUCAAGGAGUGGGAAAGAAAAUAAGAUGAAAUAUGAGCUCAGUUAAAGAGUUUUUCAAUUAAUUUAAAAAUAUUUAGAUGAGACUACUUAUACUUGUGUGAUGGGAGAUUUUGGGUUUAAGUGACCCGAAGUCGGCGUAAAGAGAAUAUAGUUGAUUUUAUAGGCUUGAGUUGAGUUGACAAUUGAAAAUUUAAUUAGAGGAUGACAAGUCAGCACUUCCAUGUGUUAGCGGAUAGGAUGUUGAGGUGAUAAAUUGACAUAGACUUUGAGAUUUUAGGUCGGCUUAAUAUGUCAACUCGGUCAAAAUGAUCAAAAUACUCUUACUUGUGCUCUGGAAGAAAAGUUUAUUUUGCUCUUUGAACA